CAGCCCCGGGGAGGGACAGGACCAAGGCUGGGCCAGUCAUGGGACUCCGCCUGCCCCCGGCCUCUGUGAUUGGUCUAGGGUUGAAGAAACACAGGUGCUGAGCCAAUCGGGACCCUUCACCAAGUUUUUGCUGAAUGGAGUUGGGCAAGAUGACCCCUUUUUGCUCUACUAGUGAAGUUCAAAAGAUGUCAGCAAAGAACUGCCUGCAAGUUUGGUUCUAGCCCCUCAGAGAAGACUGGCACUCGCAGGAGAGAGUGGAGGCCCCAUCCCGGAGACGCUAAUUGGGUUUCUGUCGCUUGUGACCAAAGGAGUCUUGGCUAGUAUAGAAGUUGCUUCUAGCCACUGAGGUCGCCAGAUCUAAUCCCAAAGCUAGCACGGUCAGACGUUCUUUCGAUUUGGAUGUAUCCUGUUACCAUCUCCGUUCUUCAGAUAAUGUUCCCAAUGUCACACAGCUCGUGAGUGGCAGAGCCCAGACGCAAGCUGCACUAAGAUGCCAAAGCAUGGCUCCUGACCUCCACGCUGCGCAGGCCCCAGGCUGCUCGUGAGGCAGCUGAGUUCUAGCACAGAGUUCAUCCCCGUGACCUCAUUGCACCACCCUGCAGAGUUAAUACAAUUGCACUCCUCACCUCUGCACCCCUCGUAUGUGCGUCUAGAAAAGCAUGGUUGCAGGGGGUCUGUCUCCCUCUGGAAAUACUGUUCUCCUUCUCCCCCUAAGCUUAGUCAGCACUGCAGUGGGACUCAGGGGGUGUUCAAUAAAUCCUGGCUGAGCUAAUUUUCCAGAUGAAGAUGCUCAAGGCUCAGGAAGGUCAGGUGGAUUGCCUGGACUGCACACUGCUGGGUGCCCUAAUGUGAGCUCAGCCAGGUCUCUGAUUCCAUAUAACACGCUCUUUCCUCCUCCCUACCUCCCUACCACCCUACCAGUUUUCUGUGUAGACCUCCCCGUGGAAGAAAUAACUCAAUUUGAACAAUUCUUGUCUCAGAGGCAUAGAGAAGCGGCCAUGAUAAUUUUUUAAAUUCUCAAGAACUCUCUGCUUACAAAAGCGUCUUUAAUCAUCUGUCACUGGUCUAAUGACAGGCACCUGCAACUCUAUGUAAAAAUUCCUUUCCCUCUAAUAUCCUUCCCCAUAAAAAUGCAAAUAUGUACGCUAAGGGGAAGAGUAACACACUGAGCUUUUCCAAGUUAGUCAUACUGUGGUGUCAGUAAGUUUGCCCACCCUUCCCAGCAGGAAACUUCGCUGACUUCUGGUUUUUAACAGACUGGAGGAGCGAGCGAAGGGUCCUGCGCCAGGGCACAGAGUGGACACAGCAGUCCAUGUCAUGGGCCCUGAGCAGGGCACGGGCAGGAGGGGCUCAUCAGAAGAAGGCACACCUGGAAGAAAGAGAGGCGGGUUUGGCUUGAGGAGUAGCCACCAAAGCAAGGCUGGAGAGGACUCCAGAAGAGCCGAGUCUCCAGGAACAAGACCCCAUCGUGGCUUAAAAGACAUUGGUAGAUUGAUAAAAUCCCUACCUUCAGCUACCUGAAGUAUCCAGGGUUUCAAAAGGCAAAUAAUUUAAAAUAGAUACCUAGACAAUUAUAACUGUCCACUUCACUCUGGUCUCUGCUUCGCUUACAAAUGUAGGCAUAUUGGUGCAUUGUACCGGAAGUGCUCCAAGACCCUGUCUGUUUCUCUAGCCCCUAUGCUCCGCAUCCUCUGCCUUCCUGGUAUCACA
Molecule: long non-coding RNA, 1710 nt
Organism: Equus caballus (horse)
Lineage: Eukaryota; Metazoa; Chordata; Mammalia; Perissodactyla; Equidae
Source: Ensembl